CCUACGGGAGACGGCAGUGGGGAAUAUUGCACAAUGGGGGAAACCCUGAUGCAGCGACGCCGCGUGAGUGAAGAAGUAUUUCGGUAUGUAAAGCUCUGUCAGCAGGGAAGAAAAUGACGGUACCUGACCAAGAAGCCCCGGCUAACUACGUGCCAGCAGCCGCGGUAAUACGUAGGGGGCAAGCGUUAUCCGGAUUUACUGGGUGUAAAGGGAGCGUAGACGGCAGGGCAAGUCUGGAGUGAAAGGCGGGGGCUCAACCCCCGGACUGCUCUGGAAACUGCCAGGCUGGAGUGUGUGAGAGGAUAGUGGAAUUCCAGGUGUAGGAGUGAAAUCCGUAGAUAUCUGGAGGAACAUCAGUGGCGAAGGCGACUAUCUGGCACAUAACUGACGCUGAGGAGCGAAAGCGUGGGUAGCAAACAGGAUUAGAUACCCCUGUAGUC
This 440-nucleotide ribosomal RNA is filed under the name uncultured bacterium. RNAcentral's name for it is "partial 16S ribosomal RNA". It matches the Rfam family "Bacterial small subunit ribosomal RNA", at positions 338 to 795 of the family's 1533-position model. The record is from RNAcentral.